Molecule: ribosomal RNA, 168 nt
Filed under: uncultured Candidatus Solibacter sp.
Lineage: Bacteria; Pseudomonadati; Acidobacteriota; Terriglobia; Bryobacterales; Solibacteraceae
Description: partial 16S ribosomal RNA
Rfam family: Bacterial small subunit ribosomal RNA
Source: RNAcentral
GCCUACGGGAGGCAGCAGUGGGGAAUCUUGCACAAUGGGGGAAACCCUGAUGCAGCGACGCCGCGUGAGCGAUGAAGCCCUUCGGGGUGUAAAGCUCUUUCGGCAGGGAAGAUGAUGACGGUACCUGCAGAAGCAGCUGCGGCUAACUACGUGCCAGCAGCCGCGGUC